UCCGAAAAAAAGAUAAGUGCCGAAGAACAACAACAAACAAACAAACAAAAAAAAAAACGGCAAACACCCCACCAGGUAUUGUUACAUUCUUUUUUUCCUUUGCUCUACGUUUAUUUUCUUCUUUUUUUACACGUCAAAAAAAUGGAAAAGAGACCAUGAGUGUCAUUAGAGACCUGGUCAUUAGACCUCAUGAGGGAGCGAUGAAAUCAACCAAAUUGGCUUUUUGAUCAAAGCAAACGGAUGAAACAAAAAAUCAUCACACUC
Molecule: non-coding RNA, 264 nt
Filed under: Platyophrya macrostoma
Lineage: Eukaryota; Ciliophora; Colpodea; Cyrtolophosidida; Platyophryidae
Source: RNAcentral